AACGUAGGACGCAAGCGUUAUCCGGAGUUACUGGGCGUAAAGCGCGGGCAGGCGGUUCUGCCAGUCUGAUGUGAAAUCUCCUCGCUCAACGGGGAGCAGCCAUUGGAAACUACAGAACUGGAGUCUGGCAGAGGUAGGCGGAAUUCCGGGUGGAGUGGUGAAAUGCGUAGAGAUCCGGAGGAACACCAGAGGCGAAGGCGGCCUACUGGGCCAGUACUGACGCUGAGCCGCGAAAGCCAGGGGAGCGAAUGGG
RNAcentral lists this ribosomal RNA (253 nucleotides) under uncultured bacterium. RNAcentral's name for it is "partial 16S ribosomal RNA". It matches the Rfam family "Bacterial small subunit ribosomal RNA", at positions 524 to 776 of the family's 1533-position model. The record is from RNAcentral.